GACAGAGGUGCCGAGCGUUAGGCGGAAUCACUGGGCUUAAAGCGUGUGUGGGCGGACCGUUAAGUACCUUGUGAAAUCCCACGGCUCAACCGUGGAACGGCUGGGUAUACUGGCGGUCUUGGGCCACCUAGGGGUCAUCGGAACAGGCGGUGGAGCGGUGAAAUGCGUAAAUAUCGCCUGGAACGCCGACGGUGAAAACAGAUGACUGGGGGUGUGCCGACGCUGAGACACGAAAGCCAGGGGAGCGAACGGG
Molecule: ribosomal RNA, 253 nt
Filed under: uncultured bacterium
Lineage: Bacteria
Description: partial 16S ribosomal RNA
Rfam family: Bacterial small subunit ribosomal RNA
Source: RNAcentral